ACUUUUACCGAAGGCCUUCCAUGUGUCUAACUGCAGUUCUCUCUGUUGCAAGUUAAGCCGGAACUGAAAGACCAGAAACCAGCCUGCCCUAGUCAAAGAAAGUUAGGGCCCAACCAGCCUCUCCCCAAGAAGCAGGGUAAGGUGGGGCAUUCAUCUCUCUGGACCCUUUUCCCCAGCCUGAGCCAGCCUUUGGGUGAGUUUCCUGCUAUUGGGAAAAUUCCUCCUCCAGUCUAACUAUGAUCACUUACAGUGAAGUUCAUUUCUGCCUCUCAGGGUCUCCCAUUUCUCUGGAGAAACCAGAAGCACAGAGAGGCCUGGGACAGAGCCUUCGGGGUAGGGAGGAGGUCCCAGGGAAGAACCUGGUUGCCAAAGUCUCGGCCAGUUGGAGAAGAGAUGGGUCUCCCGAGGAUACCCAAGCCCAAGCUCUACACUGUCCCAAGGUGGUUUGUUUUUCUUCUUUCUUCUAUUGGUCUGGACCUUGUAUAUUCUGGGAGGAGGUGAUUAAGGCCAAAUUGCCUUAAGUGGCCAUCCAGCCAGAAGCUGGAAGAAGGGAAGGAUGAGAGGGAAUGAACUGUUGUGUUACGGCUAUUGAGAGAAACAGUGGCAAUACACAGCCAAAGCCCUGAGUUUCUAAUACGGCGCCACCUCUUAUGAGCUGUGAGAUCUUGGGCAAAGUAACUAACCUUUAAGUAUUUGUCUGUAGAAUUGAGAUUGAAAUACUUAUCUUUGCCAGAAUUGUUAUAAGAAUUAAAUGAGUUGAAAGUGUUUCAUCAAGUGUGCAAUGCUACUCAAGUAGGAGGGACUAAGCUACUUCCUUCUCUCACUGCUUGACUGAGCUUCUCUCCAGCCCCACCCCCUGAUGUUUACUGCUUAUGGAGAAAGAGAUUAAGUGAAGCAGGCCCACACAUUCAUGAAGGUGGAAGGAAGAUGUAGCAGGAGAUGGUGGAGAGGGAAACAGAGGAAGACAGGAUGACAGACGUGGGGAGGAAAGGCUGAGCGAGGCAAUGUCCUGACUCACUCUGGCGCUUCCCUCUUUCCCAUCUGGGCUCCAGAGUCUCUGCCCUCAUUCCCCUUCACCAGGUUGCUCAACCCUCCAUCAGACUGUUAGGUCAAGGGUGGACAAACAGACCAACCGGGAUCUGGAUGGCCCCUGGGCAGUACUGACUUCCCCUACCAUUCCCAUGGCAAGAAAAGGGAGUGAUUCCACUAGCAGACUCCCCUACCCUGCAGUGAGACAGCCUGUAGGAAGCCUCAACUCCCGACCCAUGGCCUGUGGUGAGAGGUGCUAACAACAUGACCUGCUUUCAUCUUGACCUUCCCAGCCCACCCAGAGAAAAGGGAAUCUUGGCUAAAAAAAGGCUGGAAGAGGGGAGAACCCUGGCACUGCGGGUGGGGCUGGGAGGAGCCCAGGCAACCUUACUGGUGAGAAUCUCAUGGCUCUUCAAGCUGACUGCUAAGCUGGAUGCGUAGGGGAAAGCAGAGAAAAGGUGAUUUACUGGGACACAGAGACACAGGCUGGAAGAGAUAGCAUGUGUUUCCUUAAAAUUUGAAGCAUUUGGCUGGGCACAGUGGCUCACACCUGUAAUCCCUGCACUUUGGGAGGUAAAGGCAAGAGGAUUUCCUGGGCCCAAGAGUUAGAGGCUGCAGUGAGCUAUGAUUGUGCCAUUGUACUCCAGCCUGGGAGACAGAAACCCCCUCUCUUAAAAAAAUAAAAAAAUAAAAAAUGGAACCAUUGCUCUGAGUUUCUAAUAGGGGGAGU
This 1759-nucleotide long non-coding RNA is filed under the name Homo sapiens (human). RNAcentral describes it as "non-protein coding lnc-RXFP4-2:13". The record is from RNAcentral. Lineage: Eukaryota; Metazoa; Chordata; Mammalia; Primates; Hominidae.